This 65-nucleotide transfer RNA is filed under the name Chrotogonus sp. TAMUIC IGC OR284. RNAcentral's name for it is "tRNA-Asp". The record is from RNAcentral. Lineage: Eukaryota; Metazoa; Arthropoda; Insecta; Orthoptera; Pyrgomorphidae.
AAGGGAUUAGUUAAAUUAUAACAAUAGAAUGUCAAACUAUAAUUACUUAAAAUAAGUAUUCCUUG